CUCUCUCCCCCUCUCUUCCUUCCUCUCUCCUUCCCUCCAUUCAUCUCCAGAAAGUAGCUCAGAUCAUAAGCCCUUCCACUAUAGUGUGAUUCCUGACUGGGACCCUGCUUGGAGUCUGAUAUCCAGAAAGACACUAUUACCACGCCAAGGAAGACAGACGAGACCAAUAUGUUUUCUCGCGCUGCCAGCAGCACCUCUCAUGGACACUGUAAAGACCCGGGACUGUUUUUAAAUGAAAAGAAAGGCCACUUUUGAGCAUAGCUUUUAUAUAGUUUUUUUUUUUUUUUUAAAGUUAAUUUAAAUAUUGUUAUAUUUUUCUUCCCAAAAGUACCUGGUGGGUGCAGUCGUUUUUUUCCUGUUACUCUAUUGGGUUAUUCUGUAAAUAAUUAUUUUAAUAGUUUCCUGUGAAUUUAUGAAUGGUUGGUUUCUUUAUCGUCUUGUUGACCACUUUUACUGCAACUUCUGAUUCACCUGUUGAUUGAUGUUAUACCCUGGGAUGAAAGGCUAGUUCUGAUAUACCCUGGGAUGAAAGGCUAGUUCUGGUAUACCCUGGGAUGAAAGGCUAGUUCUGGUAUACCCUGGGAUGAAAGGCUAGUUCUGGUAUACCCUGGGAUGAAAGGCUAGUUCUGGUAUACCCUGGGAUGAAAGGCUAGUUCUGGUAUACCCUGGGAUGAAAAGCUAGUUCUGGUAUACCCUGGGAUGAAAGGCUAGUUCUGUUAUACCCUGGGAUGAAAAGCUAGUUCUGUUAUACCCUGGGAUGAAAGGCUAGUUCUGAAUCAGUCAGGAUACUCUUCAAAAAAGGUCCAAAGCAACAUGUUUAUUUUUCGGCAUUCUGGUACGACUCUUUUUAGUGUCUUCACAUAACGUCUGUUCUGUGGUCAGAUUCCUCCAUCUUGUUUUGUUCUGUGUCUCGGUCUGUUGCCACUUCCUGUAGCCGUUCAGGUCUGACUGAGGGUGUAUCCCAAAUAGCAACCUAUUCAUUAUGUAGGGGAUUACUGUUGACCAGAGACCUAUGGCCAAAAGCUCUGGUCGAAACUAGUGCACUUAUAUAUAGGGGGAUAAGGUGCUAUUUGUGACGUGAGCCUGACUCCAGGUCAGUUCCAGUGGGUCUGAGAGGCUGAGGUUCUCCCAGCUGAGUGACUCGGGGCUGUUGUGCUGGAGAACGGUACACACCGAGAGAAGAAGAGAGAUAGAGGCUACUUUCACCUUCAGAGUUUCAAAUGCAAAAAAACAAAAAAAAAAAAAAAAAAUUCUUGUUCAUAUACAUUUUUUUUUUUAAGACGGCAUUAAGAAGAAAGGAAAUCCUCUAAAUGUACAUUGUCUGUCUGUAAAUAUUUGCACCAGUGGUGCUCCCUGGUUCUAGUAUUGUGUAGGAGAAAGCAGAGGAAGACUGUGAUAGCGGUGUACAUGAAUCAACAUUCAACAACAAAAUGACUUUCCACUCGUUGAAUCUGGAGCAUGAAUGUCUUCAUCCCCUGUCUUCAUCACAACACGUUCUAACUUUUAAUAAACAUGUGUUGGUUUUUGUAUCCAGAA
Oncorhynchus tshawytscha (Chinook salmon) is the source of this 1536-nucleotide long non-coding RNA. The record is from Ensembl. Lineage: Eukaryota; Metazoa; Chordata; Actinopteri; Salmoniformes; Salmonidae.